UACGGAGGGGGCAAGCGUUGUUCGGAAUCAUUGGGCGUAAAGGGCGCGUAGGCGGCCGAUCAAGUCGGGUGUGAAAUCCCUCGGCUCAACCAAGGAAGUGCAUCCAAAACUGCUGAGCUUGAGUACUUAAGAGGAUCGCGGAAUUCCCGGUGUAGAGGUGAAAUUCGUAGAUAUCGGGAGGAACACCAGUGGCGAAGGCGGCGAUCUGGGAAGAUACUGACGCUGAGGUGCGAAAGCGUGGGGAGCAAACAGG
This 253-nucleotide ribosomal RNA is filed under the name uncultured bacterium. RNAcentral's name for it is "partial 16S ribosomal RNA". It matches the Rfam family "Bacterial small subunit ribosomal RNA", at positions 524 to 776 of the family's 1533-position model. The record is from RNAcentral.